This 388-nucleotide ribosomal RNA is filed under the name uncultured bacterium. RNAcentral's name for it is "bacterial SSU rRNA". It matches the Rfam family "Bacterial small subunit ribosomal RNA", at positions 28 to 417 of the family's 1533-position model. The record is from RNAcentral.
GACGAACGCUGGCGGCGUGCCUUAACACAUGCAAGUCGAGCGGUAAGGCCCUUUCGGGGGUACACGAGCGGCGAACGGGUGAGUAACACGUGGGUGACCUGCCCUCAGCUCUGGGAUAAGCCCGGGAAACUGGGUCUAAUACUGGAUAUGACUCCAUGACGCAUGUUGUGGGGUGGAAAGCCUUGUGCGGCUGAGGAUGGGCCCGCGGCCUAUCAGCUUGUUGGUGGGGGAUGGCCUACCAAGGCGACGACGGGUAGCCGGCCUGAGAGGGCGACCGGCCACACUGGGACUGAGACACGGCCCAGACUCCUGCGGGAGGCAGCAGUGGGGAAUCUAGCGCAAUGGGCGAAAGCCUGACGCAGCGACGCCGCGUGAGGGAUGACGGCCU